RNAcentral lists this ribosomal RNA (310 nucleotides) under uncultured bacterium. Its description in RNAcentral is "bacterial SSU rRNA". It matches the Rfam family "Bacterial small subunit ribosomal RNA", at positions 30 to 340 of the family's 1533-position model. The record is from RNAcentral.
AUUGAACGCUGGCGGCAGGCCUAACACAUGCAAGUCGAGCGGAUGAGUGGAGCUUGCUCCAUGAUUCAGCGGCGGACGGGUGAGUAAUGCCUAGGAAUCUGCCUGGUAGUGGGGGACAACGUUUCGAAAGGAACGCUAAUACCGCAUACGUCCUACGGGAGAAAGCAGGGGACCUUCGGGCCUUGCGCUAUCAGAUGAGCCUAGGUCGGAUUAGCUAGUAGGUGAGGUAAUGGCUCACCUAGGCGACGAUCCGUAACUGGUCUGAGAGGAUGAUCAGUCACACUGGAACUGAGACACGGUCCAGACUCCU